Molecule: microRNA precursor, 56 nt
Organism: Macaca fascicularis (crab-eating macaque)
Lineage: Eukaryota; Metazoa; Chordata; Mammalia; Primates; Cercopithecidae
Source: Ensembl
AGGACAUGUGGGUUAGGCAGAAGUAGAGGAUCCUGCAACUAUGACUGAGGGACUGG